UCCGCAGGUUACCCCUACGGAAGGAUCAUUACCGAGUUUUCAACUCCCUAACCCUUCUGUGAACCUACCUAUCGUUGCUUCGGCGGACUCGCCCCAGCCCGGACGCGGACUGGACCAGCGGCCCGCCGGGGACCUCAAACUCUUGUAUUCCAGCAUCUUCUGAAUACGCCGCAAGGCAAAACAAAUGAAUCAAAACUUUCAACAACGGAUCUCUUGGCUCUGGCAUCGAUGAAGAACGCAGCGAAACGCGAUAAGUAAUGUGAAUUGCAGAAUCCAGUGAAUCAUCGAAUCUUUGAACGCACAUUGCGCCCGCCAGCAUUCUGGCGGGCAUGCCUGUUCGAGCGUCAUUUCAACCCUCGACCUCCCCUUGGGGGGGUCGGCGUUGGGGACCGGCAGCACACCGCCGGCCCUGAAAUGGAGUGGCGGCCCGUCCGCGGCGACCUCUGCGCAGUAAUACAGCUCGCACCGGAACCCCGACGCGGCCACGCCGUAAAACACCCAACUUCUGAACGUUGACCUCGAAUCAGGUAGGACUACCCGCUGAACUUAAGCAUAUCAAUAAGCCGGAGGA
RNAcentral lists this ribosomal RNA (571 nucleotides) under Beauveria bassiana. RNAcentral's name for it is "eukaryotic LSU rRNA". The stretch from base 194 to 347 matches the Rfam family "5.8S ribosomal RNA". Lineage: Eukaryota; Fungi; Ascomycota; Sordariomycetes; Hypocreales; Cordycipitaceae. The record is from RNAcentral.